Molecule: small nuclear RNA, 150 nt
Filed under: Carlito syrichta (Philippine tarsier)
Lineage: Eukaryota; Metazoa; Chordata; Mammalia; Primates; Tarsiidae
Description: U12 minor spliceosomal RNA (ENSTSYG00000028922.1)
Rfam family: U12 minor spliceosomal RNA
About the family: Although the U12 sequence is very divergent from that of U2, the two are functionally analogous.
Source: Rfam by way of RNAcentral
AUGCCUUAAACUUAUGAGUAAGGAAAAUAACGAUACAGGGUGACGCCCGAAUCCUCACUGCUAAUGUGAGACGAAUUUUUGAGUGGGUAAAGUUUGCCCCUAAGGUGAUCCACCUACUUUGCGGGAUGCCUGGGAGUUGCGAUGUGCCUG